AACGCACAUUGCGCCCGCCAGUACUCUGGCGGGCAUGCCUGUUCGAGCGUCGUCUCAACCCUCGAGCCCCCGGGCUCGGUGUUGGGGACCGGCCGCCCCCCGCGGUGGCCGCCCCCGAAAUCCAGUGGCGGUCCCGCCGCAGCCUCCUCUGCGCAGUAGUUGAUACCCUCGCACCGGAGCGCGGCGCGGCCCUGCCGUGAAACCCCCAACCCUUCUCAGGUUGACCUCGAAUCAGGUAGGAAUACCCGCUGAACUUAA
Molecule: unclassified non-coding RNA, 258 nt
Filed under: uncultured fungus
Lineage: Eukaryota; Fungi
Description: partial contains 5.8S ribosomal RNA, internal transcribed spacer 2, and large subunit ribosomal RNA
Rfam family: 5.8S ribosomal RNA (bases 1-52)
Source: RNAcentral